This 736-nucleotide small RNA is filed under the name Volvox dissipatrix. RNAcentral describes it as "eukaryotic LSU rRNA". The stretch from base 245 to 396 matches the Rfam family "5.8S ribosomal RNA". Lineage: Eukaryota; Viridiplantae; Chlorophyta; Chlorophyceae; Chlamydomonadales; Volvocaceae. The record is from RNAcentral.
AAUCAUCGAUAUGUUAUAUAUCACAUAUUUAACCAUAUACUGUGUCUGGCAUAUAGAGAAAAGGGGUGGGGUAUAUAUAUAUAUAUAUAUUGCAUAUAUAUAUAUUUUUAUAUAUGUAUAUGUAUUAUAUACCUCACACCUCCUCUGUUUGCCAGAAUAUCUUUUCAACUUAUACACCCAAAAUAAAUACCAAAUAAUAUAAAGUUGCUUGGGAAUUAUAUCCCACAGCAAAAAUAACCAAGACAACUCUCAACAACGGAUAUCUUGGCUCUCAGAUCGAUGAAGAACGCAGCGAAAUGCGAUACGUAGUGUGAAUUGCAGAAAUGUGAAUCAUCGAAUCUUUGAACGCAAAUUGCGCUCGAGGCUUCGGCCAAGAGCAUGUCUGCCUCAGCAUCGAUGCACCCCCAUUCCUCUCUUAUAUAAUAUAUAUAACAGAGAGGAGAUCUGGCUGUCUCUAGAUCGAUCCAAAUCUUGAAGAGGAUUUCUUUCUCUCUCUGAGAGAUAGAUGUGUCCGCUUCUUUUGAUGGAUGUGUGAAGAGUCGGCUGAAAUGAAGCUGCUAAACCAUGUGGACACCACCAAAUGUGCGCCCGUACUGGGUAGGCAACAUUCGUUUGCUGCAAAUACUUUAGUACAAGUGGCGUGCGUGUUUUGCGUGAUGUUGUAUAUGCAGUAAGUGUUUGGCACUCAACACAGGAAUAUAUAUAUAAUAAUACAACGACCUGAGCUCAGGCAAGA